Molecule: ribosomal RNA, 469 nt
Filed under: uncultured bacterium
Lineage: Bacteria
Description: partial 16S ribosomal RNA
Rfam family: Bacterial small subunit ribosomal RNA
Source: RNAcentral
GACGAACGCUGGCGGCGUGCUUAACACAUGCAAGUCGAACGGAAAGGCCCUGCUUGCAGGGUGCUCGAGUGGCGAACGGGUGAGUAACACGUGGGUGAUCUGCCCCUUAUUUUGGGAUAAGCCUGGGAAACUGGGUCUAAUACUGGAUAGGACCAUGCUGUAGGUGGUGUGGUGGAAAGAUUAGUUUCGGUAAGGGAUGAGCUCGCGGCCUAUCAGCUUGUUGGUGGGGUAAUGGCCUACCAAGGCGUCGACGGGUAGCCGGCCUGAGAGGGUGGACGGCCACAUUGGGACUGAGAUACGGCCCAGACGCCUACGGGAGGCAGCAGUGGGGAAUAUUGCACAAUGGGCGCAAGCCUGAUGCAGCGACGCCGCGUGGGGGAUGACGGCCUUCGGGUUGUAAACUCCUUUCGGCCAUGACGAAGCCCUUGUGGUGACGGUAGUGGUAGAAGAAGCACCGGCUAACUACGUG